Molecule: non-coding RNA, 30 nt
Filed under: Mus musculus (house mouse)
Lineage: Eukaryota; Metazoa; Chordata; Mammalia; Rodentia; Muridae
Source: RNAcentral
GAGAAGGGUCACGUUUUGUGUUGUAUCUGC